GGCCUACCAUGGUGGUAACGGGUAACGGGGUGUUAGGGCACGACACCGGAGAGGGAGCCUGAGAAACGGCUACCACAUCCAAGGAUGGCAGCAGGCGCGCAAAUUACCCAAUCCCGACACGGGGAGGUAGUGACAAUAAAUAACAAUACGGGGUUCUUUAGGAUCUCGUAAUUGGAAUGAGUACAAUUUAAAUCUCUUAACGAGGAACAAUUGGAGGGCAAGUCUGGUGCCAGCAGCCGCGGUAAUUCCAGCUCCAAUAGCGUAUAUUAAAGUUGUUGCAGUUAAAAAGCUCGUAGUUGAAUUUCGGGGUUAGUAGGUUGGUCAUGCCUCCGGUAUGUACUGAUCUCACUGAUUCCUCCUUCCUUAUGAACCGUAAUGCCAUUAAUUUGGUGUUGCGGGGAAUUUGGACUGUUACUUUGAAAAAAUUAGAGUGUCUAAAGCAAGCUAACGCUUGAAUACAUUAGCAUGGAAUAAUGAAAUAGGACGUUCGAUCUUAUUUUGUUGGUUUCUAGGAUUGACGUAAUGAUUAAUAGGGAUAGUUGGGGGCAUUAGUAUUCAAUUGUCAGAGGUGAAAUUCUUGGAUUUAUUGAAGACUAACUACUGCGAAAGCAUUUGCCAAGGAUGUUUUCAUUAAUCAAGAACGAAAGUUAGGGGAUCGAAGACGAUCAGAUACCGUCGUAGUCUUAACCAUAAACUAUGCCGACUAGGGAUCGGAUGAUGUUAAUUUUUUAAUGACUCAUUCGGCGCCUUACGGGAAACCAAAGUGUUUGGGUUC
RNAcentral lists this ribosomal RNA (775 nucleotides) under uncultured Rhizophagus. Its description in RNAcentral is "SSU rRNA". It matches the Rfam family "Eukaryotic small subunit ribosomal RNA", at positions 338 to 1114 of the family's 1831-position model. The record is from RNAcentral. Lineage: Eukaryota; Fungi; Glomeromycota; Glomeromycetes; Glomerales; Glomeraceae.